Molecule: non-coding RNA, 983 nt
Organism: Chiloscyllium plagiosum (whitespotted bambooshark)
Lineage: Eukaryota; Metazoa; Chordata; Chondrichthyes; Orectolobiformes; Hemiscylliidae
Source: RefSeq, a predicted model, not a curated record
GUUCCCUCUCCUGGGCCCAGAUUCACGGUUGCUGCAGGAGGUGGGGCAGCGGUGGAUCCCCCCAGCCAGGACUCGAUGAUUCGACCAGAUUAACAGUCUCAAUCUGGGAACUCAUUCGAUGAUGUCCAUCUGGCUGACCUUGUUACAAUCAGCACAUCCGUCCCCCUCUGAGUCCACAGACACAGGCUGUUGGUACACCUUUGCCUUUGCUACACCUGUUACUACUUCAUCUCCAGGAGGUGCAAGAGACCAAUCAGUCGGGUUCAUGGUGGAACUUUCGUUUUGAAUGCUGAAACAACUGUUCAAGUUCAUGAAAAGGUCAGAUGUCAUUUUCCAGCAUUGGCUGACCAAGUGGAAGGCAAUGUGCUAUUUUUAUACCAAAGGGAGACAAUGCCAUGAAAUAUAUCCCAUCACCAAGGCUGAUGAUAUUCCUGAAUUGCAAGAGUAUGUCCCAAACAAAACAAGAGCAAGAAUCUUAAACAAACACCCAUCCCACUGGAUAAAGAGGAUCUGUGACAUUGUCUCAGGCUUUUCAACAUCAUUCCCUGUGCAGAAAGGACAGCUGCACAACAUUUGCUGAAGAAGGAUGUCCCUCAUGUGUUUAAAAAUAUGUUGCUGGAAAAGCGCAGCAGGUCAGGCAGCAUCAAAGGAACAGGAGAAUCGACGUUUCAGGCAUAAGCCCUUCUGUCAUAAGUCCCUCGUGUGGGCAAGACAACCACCAAAUGUCAUCAAAACUCUCAAGCAACCUUUGUCAAUUCACUGUUGCCUGCUGCAAUACUAUGAAUCCAGGACAGAAAUGUUUCUCUAAGUAUACAUGUCAUGCAACAUCCUAAUGGCCUUUUUUUUUUGUAAGAUGAAAAUCCUUACUGCCUUCGCUUUGAAAAUGGUCAUCUGCUCAAGCUAACUAUUCCAGAAUGUUAAAUAUAUUAACUAGUUACCUGAUGAAGGAGCAGUUGGACUAUAACCUGGUGUUGUGUGAUUUU